GGGUGCUUGGUCUAGUGGUAUGAUUCUUACUUUGGGUGCGAGAGGUUGUGAGUUCAAUUCUUGCAACACCCC
Transfer RNA from Ipomoea nil (Japanese morning glory), 72 nucleotides. It matches the Rfam family "tRNA". From Rfam's summary of the family: Transfer RNA (tRNA) molecules are approximately 80 nucleotides in length. Their secondary structure includes four short double-helical elements and three loops (D, anti-codon, and T loops). The record is from Rfam. NCBI's taxonomy places the organism in Eukaryota, Viridiplantae, Streptophyta, Magnoliopsida, Solanales, Convolvulaceae.